GUAGGGAAUCUUCCACAAUGGACGAAAGUCUGAUGGAGCAACGCCGCGUGAGUGAAGAAGGGUUUCGGCUCGUAAAGCUCUGUUGGUAGUGAAGAAAGAUAGAGGUAGUAACUGGCCUUUAUUUGACGGUAAUUACUUAGAAAGUCACGGCUAACUACGUGCCAGCAGCCGCGGUAAUACGUAGGUGGCAAGCGUUGUCCGGAUUUAUUGGGCGUAAAGCGAGUGCAGGCGGUUCAAUAAGUCUGAUGUGAAAGCCUUCGGCUCAACCGGAGAAUUGCAUCAGAAACUGUUGAACUUGAGUGCAGAAGAGGAGAGUGGAACUCCAUGUGUAGCGGUGGAAUGCGUAGAUAUAUGGAAGAACACCAGUGGCGAAGGCGGCUCUCUGGUCUGCAACUGACGCUGAGGCUCGAAAGCAUGGGUAGCGA
This 425-nucleotide ribosomal RNA is filed under the name uncultured Lactobacillus sp. RNAcentral describes it as "bacterial SSU rRNA". It matches the Rfam family "Bacterial small subunit ribosomal RNA", at positions 354 to 771 of the family's 1533-position model. Lineage: Bacteria; Bacillati; Bacillota; Bacilli; Lactobacillales; Lactobacillaceae. The record is from RNAcentral.